This 444-nucleotide ribosomal RNA is filed under the name uncultured bacterium. RNAcentral's name for it is "bacterial SSU rRNA". It matches the Rfam family "Bacterial small subunit ribosomal RNA", at positions 330 to 791 of the family's 1533-position model. The record is from RNAcentral.
UCCAGACUCCUACGGGAGGCAGCAGUGAGGGAUAUUGGUCAAUGGGGGAAACCCUGAACCAGCAACGCCGCGUGAGGGAAGACGGUUUUCGGAUUGUAAACCUCUGUCCUCUGUGAAGAUAAUGACGGUAGCAGAGGAGGAAGCUCCGGCUAACUACGUGCCAGCAGCCGCGGUAAUACGUAGGGAGCGAGCGUUGUCCGGAUUUAUUGGGUGUAAAGGGCGUGUAGGCGGGAAUGCAAGUCAGAUGUGAAAACUAUGGGCUCGACCCAUAGCCUGCAUUUGAAACUGUAUUUCUUGAGUGCUGGAGGGGCAAUCGGAAUUCCGUGUGUAGCGGUGAAAUGCGUAGAUAUACGGAGGAACACCAGUGGCGAAGGCGGAUUGCUGGACAGUAACUGACGCUGAGGCGCGAAAGCGUGGGGAGCAAACAGGAUUAGAUACCCCAUU